AUGCUUCAGGGGAAGACUGUUGGAAUUCUGAGAGUGGGAGAAAUCACUUGUCAGGGUUCUUGGCUUUUUUUCCCCAGCGUGGCCCCCAAACACCAGUCUUCUCUUCCACCCCAAGCGAAGAACCUGAAGAAAGCCAGGCCUACUCCUGCCUCCAGGCCAGACGAGGCAUCUGCUUCUUCAAAUUUGCCGAAGGAAGAAAAAGAACAGCAAGAAGCAAUUGAAUAUAUUGAUGAAGUACAGAAUGAAAUAGACAGACUUAAUGAACAAGCCAGUGAGGAGAUUUUGAAAGUAGAACAGAAAUAUAACAAACUCUGCCAACCAUUUUUUCAGAAGAGGUCAGAAUUGAUCGCCAAAAUCCUCAAUUUUUGGGUAACAUUUGUUAACCAUCUACAAGUGUCUGCACUGCUUGGGGAGGAGGAUGAAGAGGCGCUGCAUUAUUUGACAAGAGUUGAAGAGACAGAAUUUGAAGACAUUAAAUCAGGUUACAGAAUAGAUUUUUAUUUUGAUGAAAACCCUUACUUCGAAAAUAAAAUUCUCUCCAAAGAAUUUCAUCUGAAUGAGAGUGGUGACCCAUCUUCAAAGUCCACUGAAAUCAAAUGGAAAUCUGGAAAGGAUUUGAUGAAAUGAUCAAGUCAAACACAGAAUAAAGCCAGCAGGAAGAGACAGCAUGAGGAACCAGAAAGUUUCUUCACCUGGUUUACUGAUCAUUCUGAUGCAGGUGCAGAUGAAUUAGGAGAGGUCAUCAAAGAUGAUAUUUGGCCAAAUCCGUUACAGUACUACUUGGUUCCUGACAUGGAUGACGAGAAAGGGGAAGGAGAAGAGGAUGACGACGAUGAUGAAGAAGAGGAAGGAUUGGAAGAUAUUGAUGAAGAAGGGGAUGAGGAUGAAGGUGAAGAAGAUUAAGAUGAUGAUGAGGGGGAGGAAGGAGAAGAAGAUGAAGGAGAAGAUGACUAAUGGAACACUGAUGGAUUCCAACCUUUUUAAAUUUUCUCCAGUCCCUGGGAGCAAGUUGCAGUCUUCUUUUUUUUUUCCUCCUCUUGUGCUCAGUCGCCCUGUUUUUGAGGUCUCUUUUCUCCUUUAUACCAUGGUUCACAACUUAUUUGGGGAGGGGGGAAAUAUCUUGAGCAGAAUUCAGUGGAAAAAGAAUCUCUACCCCUUUCUGUUUCAAAUUCAUUUUUAUCCCUUCCUGUCUCAACAAAAACUAUGGAAUCAACACCACCAUGCUCUGUGGGAAAAAAAGAAAAACCUUCUGCUCCCUUAGCUCUGCUGGAAGCUGGAGGGUGCUAGGCCCCUGUGUAGUAGUGCAUAGAAUUCUAGCUUUUUUCCUCCUUUCUCUGUAUAUUGGGCUCAGAGAUUACACUGUGUCUCUAUGUGAAUAUGGACAGUUAGCAUUUACCAACAUGUAUCUGUCUACUUUCUCUUGUUUAAAAAAAGAAAAAAAAAACUUUAAAAAAUGGGGUUAUAGAAGGUCAGCAAAGGGUGGGUUUGAGAUGUUGGGUGGGUUAAGUGGACAUUUUGACAACAUGGCUUCUCCUUUGGCAUGUUUAAUUGUGAUGUUUAACGGACAUCCUUGCAGUUUAAGAUGACACUUUUAAAAUAAAAUUCUCUCCUAAUGAUGACUUGAGCCCUACCACUCGAUGGGAGAAUCAGCAGAACCUGUAGGAUCUUAUUUGCAAUUGACAUUCUCUAUUGUAAUUUUGUUCCUGUUUAUUUUUAAAUUUUUCUUUUUGUUUCACUGGAAAGGAAAGAUGAUGCUCAGUUUUAAACGUUAAAAGUGUACAAGUUGCUUUGUUACAAUAAAACUAAAUGUGUACACAAA
Cervus elaphus (red deer) is the source of this 1819-nucleotide RNA transcript. It is a transcript of the gene named protein SET-like, with no coding region annotated. The record is from RefSeq and is a predicted model, not a curated record. NCBI's taxonomy places the organism in Eukaryota, Metazoa, Chordata, Mammalia, Artiodactyla, Cervidae. The transcript has 2 exons.